This 268-nucleotide long non-coding RNA is filed under the name Lathyrus oleraceus (garden pea). RNAcentral's name for it is "Pisum sativum (pea) long non-coding RNA (PSAT_LNC018241)". The record is from RNAcentral. Lineage: Eukaryota; Viridiplantae; Streptophyta; Magnoliopsida; Fabales; Fabaceae.
AUGCUUGCUUGGAAGAAAAAUUGUGAAAAACAAAAAUUGAGUUGUGAAAUAAGAGUUGUGAAGGUUUCAAAUGAGAAAUAAAUGGAACGAAGUUGAGAUGUGUAAAUAAUGUAUAGUGAAUGUCUCUUUUGCAUCGGCAAUCUCAUUUUCAAUGGCCUAAGAAAUGACCAUUGUUUGUUAACCUAACCAAGCUUCAACCGAAAAGCCCUUAGUGAUCUUCGUGCUUACACAUUACCAUUUAUAAUUGUUAGACAUUGUAUGAAUCGAA